Long non-coding RNA from Helianthus annuus (common sunflower), 150 nucleotides. RefSeq lists it as uncharacterized. Lineage: Eukaryota; Viridiplantae; Streptophyta; Magnoliopsida; Asterales; Asteraceae. The record is from RefSeq and is a predicted model, not a curated record. The transcript has 3 exons.
GAAAAGAAAGCGAGGGAAAGCAGUGGUAGUAAAAUAACAAGCAUGGGUAAAGGCGAUGGCCCAGACCUAAAAAGUUUCAUUCAGCAACUCCCAGUUGCAUGAGAAGUUGAUAAAUCUGGGGAAGCAUCUGAAGCGACAAGUAGCAACCGG